GAAGAAGUCUCAUUAGCCUACAACUCCUAACCACUACCCAAACAUCUGUGUUUAUCAAGCAGUUCGACAAUCCUUAACAUUAUUCUCCAAUCAAAGAUACACAUCAGACAAUGAAACCCAUCAGUCUCCUACCCAUUUAACCAUAAUAAUAAAAUUACUUCUCUCUUCAUUUUUACAAAUCCAGUUCUACAAAAUGCACACUUAAAACAAAACCUCAAACUUAAUAGACCAUAAACUUAGUUUCCAUAUCAACUAUAUUAUACAAAAAAAUUUCAACUCUUUCAAACCUAGAAUCUUUACGACGCACUCAAUACUAAUUAUUAAAAUAUAUCAAAACUAAAUGACAAUUGCAUCAGUAUUUACACAAUGUAACACACACAAAAAACAAUUACACCUUUCAGUUUGACAAUAUAUAACAAAAUAAAAACUAAAACACAUUACUCGGACAAACUUACUCACACACACCUUAGCAAAGGACAACCCUGUACCAACGAAUAUAUC
RNAcentral lists this long non-coding RNA (501 nucleotides) under Brassica napus (rape). Its description in RNAcentral is "long non-coding RNA (BNAP_LNC008033)". Lineage: Eukaryota; Viridiplantae; Streptophyta; Magnoliopsida; Brassicales; Brassicaceae. The record is from RNAcentral.